GGGGUUGUGGCUCAGUGAUAGAGCGCUUGCCUAGCAUGUGUGAGGCACUGGGUUCAAUUCUCAGCACCA
This 69-nucleotide transfer RNA is filed under the name Marmota marmota marmota (Alpine marmot). It matches the Rfam family "tRNA". From Rfam's summary of the family: Transfer RNA (tRNA) molecules are approximately 80 nucleotides in length. Their secondary structure includes four short double-helical elements and three loops (D, anti-codon, and T loops). RNAcentral also lists the same sequence under 5 other names. Lineage: Eukaryota; Metazoa; Chordata; Mammalia; Rodentia; Sciuridae. The record is from Rfam by way of RNAcentral.